RNAcentral lists this long non-coding RNA (686 nucleotides) under Mytilus galloprovincialis (Mediterranean mussel). The record is from RNAcentral. Lineage: Eukaryota; Metazoa; Mollusca; Bivalvia; Mytilida; Mytilidae.
GGUUGAGCGCUUACAAACAUGACGUUGUGCUGUUAAACCACUGUACUAGGUUAGGGAAUAGUUGGGAUGGUUGGGAUCCGCGGCUUACAUGCUUAUCCCCACCAAAUUAUGUAUGUAAAAAACUAUAUGCUUGUCCCAAGUCAGGAGCCUGUAAGUCAGUGGUUGUUGUGUGUUGCUGUGUUACUUACUUGUUUUUCGUUCAUUAUUUUGUAUAUUAAUUAGGCUGUUAGUUUUCUUCUAGUGAUUUCGGGGCCUUUUAUAGCUGAGUAUGUGAAAUGUUGUCUCUUUGACACAUUCCCCAUUUCCUUCCUCAAUUUUAUUAUGCUUAUUGUUGAAGAGCAUAUGGUGAUCUAUGGCUGUUAAUUUCUGCGUCAUUUAGUCUCUUGUGAGAAAUUGCCUCAUUGGCAACCAUACCACAUCUUCGUUUUAAUAUUAACCCCUGCCAUAUUCUUUAUGAACCUGUCCCAAGUCAGGAGCCUGCAGUUUAGUGGUUGUCGUUGGUUCAUGUCUCAUUUUUGAUAUUUUUAAAAUUGAUUUGUUAUGUAUAAUUAAACCGUUAGUUUAUUCGUUUAAAUUGUUUCACACUUUUCAUGGACUUUUAUAAACGGCUUAACAGUAUCGGAUAUUGUCAUUAUUGAAGGCCUUACGGUUGCCUGUAAUUGCUUACAUCCACUUCAUAUUUGAAC